AAAGCGCUGUAAAUGGCUUAAACAAAGCGCUGUAAAAUACCAUUUUUCGCGUAGUGUAUCUAUUAUACAAGAAAUAAUCCUAAACAAAAAUGCAGUUCUACAUUAUAUUGUUGUUGGCAUGUUGCAUGGCCAACAUGGUUGUACCAGUGGUGUGCAUCCGUUACCUCCCUCUAAAACGGGUAGUUCCACUUAACGAUCACAUUGAGAUGGACACGUUGACAGCUCGUGAUGGAGCUCGGCACUCAAGAAUCUUCGGAGGUGUUGGAGGCAUAGGCAAUUUCACGGUCCAAGGCAGUGCUGAUCCAAACUCCUUCGGGAAGUGAUCUUUUGUGGGUCAAUUGCAAAGCUUGUAGUAAUUGCCCUCAAUAUAGUGGGCUUGGGAUUAAGCUUAAUUUCUUUGAUACUGCUGGUUCAUCCACAAAUUCGUUGGUUAAAUGUUCGGACCCCAUAUGUCCUUUUGGAGUUCAAGGUGCGGAUGUUCGAUGUUCUCGUCGUGUUAACCAUAACCAGUGCAGUUACUCCUAUAAUUUUCAAGAUGGGAGUGGUACCUCAGGUGUUUAUGUCACCGAUAAAAGUUAUUUUGACUCAAUCAUUGGACAAUCUUCUCCUAGUAGUGGUAACACGUCGGCCAUCGUUUUUCUUGGGUGUAGCACCCAGCAAUUUGGACGAUUGACUACCCAGUGAGAGCGCUUGAUGGAAUCUUUGGGUUUGGGCUUGGCCCUCUAUCAAUUGUAUCACAAUUGUCACCACAAGGAAUAAUACCCAAAGUUUUCUCUCAUUGC
Non-coding RNA from Cicer arietinum (chickpea), 782 nucleotides. Lineage: Eukaryota; Viridiplantae; Streptophyta; Magnoliopsida; Fabales; Fabaceae. The record is from RefSeq and is a predicted model, not a curated record.